UUUUUUUUUUUAAUUUUUUUUUGGUGAUUUUGUUGUUGUUUCCUCUAAAGAUGAGUUGUAUGUGUGUUCUUUUGUUAGUUUAUUCUAUUUUUGAGAAGAGAUUUUAGGUUCAAUAGGUCAAGUUAUGGUUUUUGGGGUGCGAGAAAUGGUGAGAUUGAUUCACAGUUUGGUUUGGUGUUUUUGGUCCAAACUUGGUUAUUAAAAAUGAUUAUUCCAAAGUGGUCAGGUCUUUGAUUUUGAGAUUACUUUGUUUUACCGUUGUGAUCCCAAUCAGUAUAUGAUGAAUGAUGUGUCAUCUUUAUUGAUAACUAUAACAGUGGUGAAUGAUGUGUACUAUGAAUUUCAUUUUAUGAUAUAUUCCUUGAAUUAGUGUGUGAAAACUUGUAAUAAUAUUUUAUUUAUUUAGCUGUUUUUAUAUUCUUGAAUUUUCUUUGUUUUUAAAGCUAUGUUAAAUAUUUUUUGGAUACGGUGUUAGGUAUCUGACCCAUUUACGCUUUUUAAAAAAAAAAAAAAAUUUCCAAGAAAAAGCAUAAAAAUUAAAUGGUUUGGGCAGGAUUGGUAGUAGUAAUGGAUUUGAAACGGGUAUAGAUAACGAAGAGUAAAUUCUAGUUGAGUUUGUAACAGAUUCUAGUAGCAUAUAUACAAAGUGGGGUCAUGUAGUUUAGAUGCAGUAACUUACUGCAUCCUUACACCCACCUCAGCUCUCUUGCAUCUCUCACCAGUCACCACUUUUGGCUCUCUCUGUCCAGUGUGUAACUUGAUUCUAUUUUUUUCCAUUUCCUUUUUAAUUUAAAUUCUAAUUCUUGAUGUUUCUUUUGUGUUGAUACAAUUGGUAUGUGCCUUUUAUUUUAAUUAAUAUUGUCAGAAGAUAAUAGAUUUUUUUUCCAUAUUUAAAUAUUGCUUUUUUGAUUAUUAAACUGUUUUCAACCUUAUUGUGCCUGUUUUGUCAUUAAAAAAAAAAAAAAAUCUGCAAUAGCUUGUGUAGGCUGUUCUUGAAUUGGGUUUUAGUUCAUUGUGUUAUUGAACUUCUUUUUUUAACUCUUGUGAAAUUUGUUUGCAUUAUAUUGCGUGUAUGCAGGAAAUGUAACCUACUCGAAUCACUUAAAUACAAAUCACUAAAUUUGUUUGACUGUAUAAACAUUGGCAGAGCCGUAGAUCCACGCACAAGGGGUCCCAGACUCACCUGAUACAAAGUGAUGGCUCUAUGGAGAGUUCAUGCAGCUUCAUUGCCUCUUGUGAAGAGACUUGUGCAACCUGCUUCCUUCCUUUCCAUUGACAAUGCUGAUCGCAGUUUCUCCACUGGUAGGCUUAGUUUAUUUCGCACUGUUUUUAAUUUCUGCUUGCAACUUCCAUACGAUUUUCUUUACUAAUGUGAAUUGUCGUUUGGAAAAUUGGUGUUUGAGUCAAAAAGGGAAACCUGGAUCAGUUUGAUUAACUUUCUAUGAUAGUUUACUGAAGAAAAGGGUUUUGAAAUGGGGAGUUUCUCCUUUGGCAGUAGAUAAACAUAGAUAAGGCAUGAAGACGAUUAAAAAAAAAAAUAAUAAUAAGAGUUUUGGUUAGCCAUAAUGAAAUGUGAUGGAUAUAAUGGAAUGAAAAAUGCUAUAGUGAUGAAUAAUCAUUAAAUUCCAUUAUUCUUUGUUAUCGUACAUGUUUUACUAUAUGUUCACUAACAUUUCUUUUGUUUCACAAAUGAGUAUGUCGGGUUUAUUUUCUGUUUAAUUGCUGGAAAUGUCGGAGAAAAACUAAUGAAAAAGGAAAAUUUUUUGAAGCUUGUUACAUUUUUGUUUUUUCUUAUUGGGCCAAUGAUUAGAAAAAUAUUAAAUUGUGUUUUUUCUGUUGUGUUCUAUUCCUUUAAUUUUAUCAAUUUGGUUUAUUAAUUAGAUUGUGUCAAUUUAUCUACUAGACCCGAAGGCAGAUAUGGACGUAACUUGUUAAUUUGAAAGUAGGCCUUCCUUAACCAUAAUAGCUUUUGACAUAUUGUGUUCUGCAAAAUUCUUCCCCUCAUAAUGUUAUUUAAAAUUGGGAUUCACAUUUUUCAAAAUGCUACCAUAUGGUGCUGUUAAAUAUAGGAGGAGCCCAUUUCAUUCAACUUGGCAAUUUUUGCUUGUGUUAGAAGUCAAUCUCAGAGCCAUAUCAACAUGAGCACAUACUGUACCUUUGGUGCUAGUGAAACAAAAUUAACUACAUUUGAACCACAUUGAUAGAAUUAGAAGUAUAUGAUACAACUGGAAAAGCAAGUAAAGUUUAUUGCCUUAAUUGAAAAAGAAAAGAAUUUAAGGAACUUCUAUAUUCUUUUUCGGUUGAAUAUUGAAGAGAUGAUAACAAAAGAUUAAAUGCAGUUCGUUGUUUAACAUAAGUUUGUUGUAAACUUCAAACUUA
Molecule: unclassified non-coding RNA, 2379 nt
Filed under: Hevea brasiliensis (rubber tree)
Lineage: Eukaryota; Viridiplantae; Streptophyta; Magnoliopsida; Malpighiales; Euphorbiaceae
Source: RNAcentral